CUGAGAGGUUCAACGGCCACCUUGGGACUGAGAUACGGCCCAGACUCCUACGGGAGGCCGCAGUCGGGAAUUUUGCGCAAUGGAGGAAACUCUGACGCAGUGACGCCGCGUGCAGGAAGAAGGUUUUCGGAUUGUAAACUGCUUUGACAGGGAAGAAAAAAGACAGUACCUGUAGAAUAAUCUCCGGCUAACUACGUGCCAGCAGC
This 206-nucleotide ribosomal RNA is filed under the name uncultured Lachnospiraceae bacterium. RNAcentral describes it as "partial 16S ribosomal RNA". It matches the Rfam family "Bacterial small subunit ribosomal RNA", at positions 292 to 515 of the family's 1533-position model. Lineage: Bacteria; Bacillati; Bacillota; Clostridia; Lachnospirales; Lachnospiraceae. The record is from RNAcentral.